CAUACCAAGAGAAGAAAUAGGCUCACAACGGAGCGGUGCAACAAUUUGGUCUUCAUAAGGUUUAAUAAUAGGAUGUUGUCUAGGAAACAAAAGCUCCUAGAGAAGAAGAAAUGGGAUGUGCUCAUUAGCACCGAUGCUACCAAAGCUCAAGGAUUUCUAUUUGAAGGAGGGGAUGAUUAUGCAAGUGUUGUUUAUCUUGAUGAGGAGGAUGGAGAUGUUCAUCCGGGUACGGGGAUAUCAUGGGAUCUACUUGGUGAAGCAAUGGGAGCACAAGAGCAACUCCAACUUCGGAGGAGUGCAAGAGUGAGAGACCUUGAGGAGGAGGAGUUUGAAUCCGAUCAUGAUGAUGAGAUAGUGGAUGAAGAUGAUAUUGAGUAUGAGGAUGAUUGA
This 390-nucleotide ribosomal RNA is filed under the name Triticum aestivum (bread wheat). RNAcentral's name for it is "partial small subunit ribosomal RNA". The record is from RNAcentral. Lineage: Eukaryota; Viridiplantae; Streptophyta; Magnoliopsida; Poales; Poaceae.